This 253-nucleotide ribosomal RNA is filed under the name uncultured bacterium. RNAcentral's name for it is "partial 16S ribosomal RNA". It matches the Rfam family "Bacterial small subunit ribosomal RNA", at positions 524 to 776 of the family's 1533-position model. The record is from RNAcentral.
UACGGAGGGUGCGAGCGUUGUCCGGAAUCAUUGGGCGUAAAGGGUGCGUAGGUGGCGCCGUAAGUCAGGUGUGAAAUCUCGGGGCUUAACUCCGAAACUGCAUUUGAUACUGCGGUGCUUGAGGACUGGAGAGGAGACUGGAAUUUACGGUGUAGCAGUGAAAUGCGUAGAGAUCGUAAGGAAGACCAGUGGCGAAGGCGGGUCUCUGGACAGUUCCUGACACUGAGGCACGAAGGCCAGGGGAGCAAACGGG